GGAAACAGACCCAAAAGUUUGAAAACUUUCCCAAGAUGACUCAGCUAGGAAAGUCUAAAGCUGGAACUUGAGCCCACAUCUAUUUAGACUCCAACGUUCAUGCUCCCCUAUUUUCAUUAUCAUAUGGCAGUGAUCUCAAAGUAAUAGGAUCAGCCCUUGAACAUGGACUUGGCUUCUCCCCAGUGGCAGAUCUGGGACAUAACUGUGAGCAAAGAGUACUGGAGAGUACAUGCAUUCUCACUACUAAUAUGCACUUUUAUUCAACAUAGUACUGGAAGCCUUCGCCACAGCAAUCAGACAACAAAAAGAAAUGAAAGGCAUCCAAAUUGGCAAGAGCAACAAAUGCAAAAAUAAGAAAAUGGGACCACAUCAAACUGAAAAGCUUUUGCACAGUGAAGAAAACCAUCAACAAAACAAAAAGGCAAUUUGCUGAAUGGAAGAAGAUAUUUGCAAAAGAUAUAACUGAUAAGGGUUAUCUAUCCAAAAUAUAUAAAGAACUCACACAGCUCA
This is a long non-coding RNA of Panthera uncia (snow leopard), 510 nucleotides long. RefSeq lists it as uncharacterized. The record is from RefSeq and is a predicted model, not a curated record. NCBI's taxonomy places the organism in Eukaryota, Metazoa, Chordata, Mammalia, Carnivora, Felidae. The transcript is spliced from 3 exons.